CUUAGGGCUCUGGCCUUUCCCACCGCAUGACUCCACCCCCUGGACUUGGAGGGCUCUAGGACCCAGCAACCUGUGGAGGGUGGAGAGUGUGUGAGGUCCUGACCUCCAGGUGCCUCCCCUCUUUUCCUCCCCCCAUUUCCUCUUGUCUCUCCUCCCUUCCUUUCUCUCCCUUCUUCUCCCCUCUCUUUAUCCUUCCUCUUCCUUCGGCUCCCCGCCUCUGCUUCCCUCCUCUCCUGUCCUUUCCUAUCCCGUCCCCCCUCAGCCCCCAUCCCGCUCCUCCCACCCCGGUGGUCACAUGGGGGCGCCCCGGGAUUUAAGCUUAAUCUGCCUGGUGCUCAGCACAGCAGCCUGGCUGUGGCGCGUGCUGACUGAGCUAGUCUUGGGGUCCUGGGGAAGGGGGCUGGAAGAGUGCCCACAGCCUCCCCCCCAUGAGCUUGGGGCUGGCGGGGGCACAGGACGUCGAGCUGACACUAGAGACGGUUAUCCAGACACUGGAGAGCAGCGUCCUGUGCCAGGAGAAGGGCUUGGGCACGCGGGACCUGGCCCAGGAUGCUCAGACCACCAGCCUGCCUGCCCGCAUCAGGGAGAUUGUCACCCACAACCUCUCCCGGCCUGA
Molecule: long non-coding RNA, 616 nt
Filed under: Macaca nemestrina (pig-tailed macaque)
Lineage: Eukaryota; Metazoa; Chordata; Mammalia; Primates; Cercopithecidae
Description: lncRNA (ENSMNEG00000045940.1)
Source: RNAcentral